RNAcentral lists this ribosomal RNA (753 nucleotides) under Virgibacillus pantothenticus. RNAcentral's name for it is "bacterial SSU rRNA". It matches the Rfam family "Bacterial small subunit ribosomal RNA", at positions 35 to 754 of the family's 1533-position model. Lineage: Bacteria; Bacillati; Bacillota; Bacilli; Caryophanales; Bacillaceae. The record is from RNAcentral.
GCUGGCGGCGUGCCUAUCAUGCAAGUCGAGCGCGGGAAGCAAGCAGAUCUCCUUCGGGAGUGACGCUUGUGGAACGAGCGGCGGACGGGUGAGUAACACGUGGGCAACCUACCUGUAAGACUGGGAUAACUCCGGGAAACCGGGGCUAAUACCGGAUGAAACAAAGCGUCGCAUGACGCAAUGUUAAAAGGCGGCAUAUGCUGUCACUUACAGAUGGGCCCGCGGCGCAUUAGCUAGUUGGUGAGGUAAAGGCUCACCAAGGCAACGAUGCGUAGCCGACCUGAGAGGGUGAUCGGCCACACUGGGACUGAGACACGGCCCAGACUCCUACGGGAGGCAGCAGUAGGGAAUCUUCCGCAAUGGACGAAAGUCUGACGGAGCAACGCCGCGUGAGUGAUGAAGGUUUUCGGAUCGUAAAACUCUGUUGUUAGGGAAGAACAAGUGCCAUUCGAAUAGGUUGGCACCUUGACGGUACCUAACCAGAAAGCCCCGGCUAACUACGUGCCAGCAGCCGCGGUAAUACGUAGGGGGCAAGCGUUGUCCGGAAUUAUUGGGCGUAAAGCGCGCGCAGGCGGUCCUUUAAGUCUGAUGUGAAAGCCCACGGCUUAACCGUGGAGGGCCAUUGGAAACUGGAGGACUUGAGUACAGAAGAGGAAAGUGGAAUUCCACGUGUAGCGGUGAAAUUGCGUAAAGAUGUGGAAGGAACACCAGUGGCGAAGGCGACUCUCUGGUCUGUAACUGACGCUGAGGUGC